Amphimedon queenslandica is the source of this 550-nucleotide long non-coding RNA. RefSeq lists it as uncharacterized. The record is from RefSeq and is a predicted model, not a curated record. NCBI's taxonomy places the organism in Eukaryota, Metazoa, Porifera, Demospongiae, Haplosclerida, Niphatidae. The transcript is spliced from 3 exons.
CGUAAAAGUGGGUGUGGCCAAAAUUGCAGCGCGCUUCGCACGCCCUUAGCACCCCCUUUCCUCAGUUCCUAGAUACGCCCCUGAUUAUUAAGUAUUGUUAUUUAUUGUUAUUCCAAAGAAGAAGGUGGGGCUGGUUUGACUACGCCCAUAGCUCCACCUUAAAAGAUGGAGGACAAUAGAAAUGCAGUGAUUCACUCAAAUCUUCCUCUUCUGAGAGAAGAGGUUCAUCAGAUCAUUCCUCUCCUCCUUCUGCUAUUCUGAGGUGAAGGUAUCUUUGUAUGGAGAUAAUCAUUUAUUGUUGUUGGGAGUCUCAGUUACUUGAAAUGGGUUUCCUUGCAAUGUUCUUAUCUCCAGUUUUGAGUUAUAGCCAGUUUCCACGUCACACGCCCACAAGCUGGACCAAUGUCUGGGGAAAUCGCUGGAUGAUAUUCCUCAUUAUGAUUGAAGCUGGUUUGAUAAAGAUGAGAGGUGAUAGCUGUUGGAGGGACUUGACUUGUAUGAACUAUCAUUAUGAGGUUUGUACAUUGUAUAUUGUAUAGUGUAUGAUGCU